AGCGGAGUAGGGCAGUCAGGAGUGCCCGUCGGGCCCAUAACCCGGAGGUCAGUGGUUCAAAUCCACUCUCCGCUA
Molecule: transfer RNA, 75 nt
Filed under: Candidatus Woesearchaeota archaeon
Lineage: Archaea; Nanobdellati; Candidatus Woesearchaeota
Description: tRNA-Met
Rfam family: tRNA
About the family: Transfer RNA (tRNA) molecules are approximately 80 nucleotides in length.
Source: RNAcentral